Small nuclear RNA from Ictidomys tridecemlineatus (thirteen-lined ground squirrel), 99 nucleotides. NCBI's taxonomy places the organism in Eukaryota, Metazoa, Chordata, Mammalia, Rodentia, Sciuridae. The record is from Ensembl.
GGCAACUCGUAUGCCAAAAGUUGGAAUGAUACAAAAAGAUCAGUAGCAUGGUCCUUGCUUAUAGAUGAUGGGCAAAUCUGUGAAGCAUUCCAUAUUUUA